UGAAGAAAAUCUAUGAUGAUAAGUCUCCUGAGAACUUGCUUUGACAACCUCUGCUCUUUCUUCUUGCCUGGCAUAGCCAUGAUAAGGUUCAUAACGGUCA
This 100-nucleotide small nucleolar RNA is filed under the name Oryza sativa (Asian cultivated rice). Its description in RNAcentral is "box C/D snoRNA J41.1". Lineage: Eukaryota; Viridiplantae; Streptophyta; Magnoliopsida; Poales; Poaceae. The record is from RNAcentral.